CCAACAGGGAUUGCCCUAGUAACGGCGAGUGAAGCGGCNACAGCUCAAAUUUGAAAUCUGGCUCUCGGGCCCGAGUUGUAAUUUGUAGAGGAUACUUUUGAUGCGGUGCCUUCCGAGUUCCCUGGAACGGGACGCCAUAGAGGGUGAGAGCCCCGUCUGGUUGGAUGCCAAAUCUCUGUAAAGUUCCUUCGACGAGUCGAGUAGUUUGGGAAUGCUGCUCUAAAUGGGAGAUAUAUGUCUUCUAAAGCUAAAUACCGGCCAGAGACCGAUAGCGCACAAGUAGAGUGAUCGAAAGAUGAAAAGCACUUUGAAAAGAGAGUUAAAAAGUACGUGAAAUUGUUGAAAGGGAAGCGUUUAUGACCAGACUUGGGCUUGGUUAAUCAUCUGGGGUUCUCCCCAGUGCACUUUUCCAGUCCAG
Molecule: ribosomal RNA, 418 nt
Filed under: Fusarium sp. FCC 1093
Lineage: Eukaryota; Fungi; Ascomycota; Sordariomycetes; Hypocreales; Nectriaceae
Also listed under: 1 other name
Description: eukaryotic LSU rRNA
Rfam family: Eukaryotic large subunit ribosomal RNA
Source: RNAcentral